UGUCAGGUGGCCGGCAGCAGCUAACAGCACAAAUUUUCCUCCCUAGGGUCAAGAGAAGAGAGAUAUUUGUAAAGAACAUAUUACCCUUUUCUUUCUUUUGUUUUAAAGAAUUUCAUUUAUGGAAAAGUCUUCAUUUACUAUGUUGUGAAAGCUGUCAUAAAACACCCUCUUUUUAUUACCAGUGAGGCUCCCGAGAGGUGAAUGGUGGAAACUUUGUUUUAUCUCUUCUUUAAUUUUUGAGAGUCUUCCAUUUUAGAAAAUCCAUUCUUUAAAAUGUAUCCCCAUUGACUUUUUAAGCCUUAGCAUAAACAUUAUCUCUCAGAAUUUGGUUAAGCAUCCACAGAACGCUGUGCCCAGUGCACUGGAGGAACCCUGCUUAGGUCUCACAACAGAACGCUGUGCCCAGUGCACUGGAGGAACCCUGCUUAGGUCUCACAACAGAACGUUGUGCCCAGUGCACUGGAGGAACCCUGCUUAGGUCUCACUCCCGUGGUGUCUAACAGAGAGGUCCUAGUUAAUUUCACUCGGAGCAACAGGCAGGCAACUUUUCCUUGAAAAAAAAGAUAUUUAUAAGUGUCAUGUUUAUUUUACCACUACCACCUUUUUCAAAGCUGUCGUUAAAGUGUUUUCAAAACUGAAAUUAAAUUUGCAAAUCUUUUUGCUGUGCUUGCUUGCCCUUUGACCCGCUGAUGUGAUAAAAUAACUGAACAGCUUGUCCUUUUUAGACAAGCUUUGAGUCACGACCUGACCUUUUUUUCCUUUUCACCUCUUUUUUCCUUGAGGUUUACAAAUCAAACUGCAAAAUCCAAGAACCAUUUUCUGUAAUGUGGAGGAACUUUUACAGUCCAAAUGUAGUUUGCAAAUGCCCACGCUCAAAUGUGAGCCGGAAAGGAAUGGGUCAUUAACCAGAGUGGGUCUGGUUAACGUGCCUUUUAGGGGUUUUCUCUGGGAGGCUGCAGGUGUUCUCAGACCUGCAAGAACGACACAUUCUCUGCCCAGGUGUGGACUGGCUAUACCUAUUUUUGUUUCUCUCAUUUUGUGGGAGUGAAUUUUAAGUGAUAAUUAUUAGAAAACUUUCAGUUUGACUGUUUUUCUUACAAUAUUGACUUGUUAUCUGGGUGUGAUUCAGGAACUCUCAAGCCCAUCUGCUGAACACUAUUUUGGCUCUUAAGAGGCAGUUUGAGAUGGUAUCAGCCUAUAUAUGAGGAAUUGGGAAACUUGAGUAUUCGAAGCUUUGGGCACACUUCAGCUUAGUAAAGUCUCUGAUCUACAGCUGUUUCAAACAUUUCGGAAGCCAGCAUCCUGCCUUUUCGACAAGUAGGUUUUGUCUGAAUAAAACAGGAAGUGAUUCUUCCCCCUGCUUCUCAGGGAAGGGGUGAGCAUCCAGUUCUUCUCGUUUACAGUUUCCCAACUGCUGGCCACUUUGUGUUACUUUGUGCUCCUUGAUGCCAUGAUCAACAUGUUCGUGAUGUAAGCAACCUGUGGUGGGUGUUUCCCGGUCUGUCCUGUCUUUAAAAAUGAUGCUGAGAUUUGCCACUUUGGGGAAGAGGCAUCUGUCACUAACCAUGCAUAUGUGAACACACGGAUAUUUAAGAAAUGAGCAAAUGAGGAGGUGGUUUGAACUGGUGGUGAUGCUAGCCGCCCCCUCUUAGCCCCCCCAACAUGAUUUGAGUGUGUUCCUUAUGGGAUGCACUCAUGGAAAGGACUUGUGGGUGUGAAUACAUUUCUCAAAUAAAAGUUUAAAUUGUAAAAUAGUUUUAUAAUAAAGUAUUUACAUUAAUUAUUUUAAUAUGGAUGGAAGUUGCAUAAAUUAUAAUUGUGAACUAUUUAGUCUUUCAAGAGAGUUUUGAAAAAUGUAUGUAAGUGGCUCUGAUGGCUGUGGUGUUAAAUUAGUAUGCGAUGCUUUGUUCUGUGUGUUUGGAGGGGGCUGGGCACUCUACCUGUCCACACUACAGACAGACAGUUACUGCGGGCCGAGUGAGAACCGAUUCCUGAAUGCCUGCCGGCGUCCUGUGAUGCAGUUGCCCGAGAUCUCCACAGUGUUGCCCUCGCUGUCAGGCCUCUGAACUGUCGAAUUUAUAACAUUUGGGGGGAAAUGAAUUUCUAUAAUUACCUCUGUUGCAAUCUUUUUAUUGCUGUUAGGAUUUGGAAUGUGUAGGCAGGAGGAAGGGCUGAACUGGGAACUGACUGGCUCUGACUGUUAAUACCACUCCCCUUGAGGUCUGAUGUCCAGACGUGCUUGGUUGAACCAGCCGUUUACACAGCUGUCCUUCUCUUGCAGACCCUCAACCGACCGUGGCUUUUGUGUAUCCAUAGCUUCCGUUGCCCUUUGUCUUGCCCCCUACAAUGGUUCAGUUACCCAGAAACAUCAAGUCCCUUUUAAGAAUAGUCCAUUUGGUUACUCUCAGGGUAGUGUCUGGGGGCCUUGGCCUCUCAGUUCACUCAGACUCAAGUCUGCACCUCACCAAGUAUUUUCAACCCCUCUCCCUGACGUGUGCGUUGGUGAAGCAGUCAGGACUGAUCGUCUCCAGCACCCUGUCUAGGUGGAGAGGCUCACGAGGACGACUUUAAAACAGAGACACACCAACACCUGUAUUUCAAGCUGUUAAAGCUAGUGUUUGGGUAAAGAUGAAGUGCUAAGUAUUGAGCUACAACAGAGGCAGAUGAUUGGGGGCUGAGAUCAAGGGAACCGCUGACUCUCCAGCUGGGGCAGUUACAGACAGCCUAAAACAGCCUGAAAAAGAGCGCUCUUAAGACAUGCUUGUAAAGGUACAUUCAGCCGUCGCCUUUGGAAUAAUAAAUAGCACAGUGUGACUAUGGUUGCUCCUCGCUGGUGCAAACCUUUUAAAUCUCAAGUUUUCAGAUUGCUGGGAUUUCAGACUUGUCAGCGGACAUGAAGGUAUUUCUUGACUUCAGAGCAACUCUGUUGUUAUAACAUCCAAUACUGAUAUCUGGAGACAGAUUCAGCCUCUUGGCUGUCGAUAGUGUGUCUUCCCACUUGCUUCGAUAGCUUCUAUCAAAAACCACCAUGAUUCGUGCCAGUAAAUCAGACAGUCAAAUUAAAAAAAAACAAAAACAAAACCAAAAACAGUAGAAACGUGUGGUGUGGUGAAACUUUGGCCUGGUGUCCACUUAAAAGAUUAAAAGGUUAGUUAUUGAAGAUAGGGUUUCUGGUCCCCUGUAGCGAAAGGCACACAUAGACACUUGGCUGUGGGAUCUGUGGUGGAAGAUGGGAAAUCACACCCAGUUGUGUCCUUAGUAACAUCCAGGCAGCAGUGCCAGUCCCCGCCCCCUGUUACUUGAUGAAUGAAUGUAUCCCUGUACUUUGGUGGAAAUGUCUCUAGCUUUCUUUUUCUCAGUGUUUGUAAUUUGUACUAUUGAUGGGAUAGUCUUGGAGUGCAAGGCUCAUCACUGUGUUUGUAGAAUCAUCUAAUGUGAUAUACCAAUUUUUAUAAGCGAUAUUUAGAUAACUCUAAUAACUGUACAUUCAACAACUUAUUAAAAUGUUUUGCAUUGG
This 3517-nucleotide long non-coding RNA is filed under the name Mus musculus (house mouse). Its description in RNAcentral is "long non-coding RNA chr10:71382366-71385883". The record is from RNAcentral. Lineage: Eukaryota; Metazoa; Chordata; Mammalia; Rodentia; Muridae.